GAUGAACGCUGGCGGCGUGCCUAAUACAUGCAAGUCGAGCGAACGGACGAGAAGCUUGCUUCUCUGAUGUUAGCGGCGGACGGGUGAGUAACACGUGGAUAACCUACCUAUAAGACUGGGACAACUUCGGGAAACCGUAGCUAAUACCGGAUAAUAUUUUGAACCGCAUGGUUCAAAAGUGAAAGACGGUCUUGCUGUCACUUAUAGAUGGAUCCGCGCUGCAUUAGCUAGUUGGUAAGGUAACGGCUUACCAAGGCAACGAUGCAUAGCCGACCUGAGAGGGUGAUCGGCCACACUGGAACUGAGACACGGUCCAGACUCCUACGGGAGGCAGCAGUAGGGAAUCUUCCGCAAUGGGCGAAAGCCUGACGGAGCAACGCCGCGUGAGUGAUGAAGGUCUUCGGAUCGUAAAACUCUGUUAUUAGGGAAGAACAUAUGUGUAAGUAACUGUGCACAUCUUGACGGUACCUAAUCAGAAAGCCACGGCUAACUACGUG
Molecule: ribosomal RNA, 497 nt
Filed under: uncultured bacterium
Lineage: Bacteria
Description: partial 16S ribosomal RNA
Rfam family: Bacterial small subunit ribosomal RNA
Source: RNAcentral